RNAcentral lists this ribosomal RNA (177 nucleotides) under uncultured bacterium. RNAcentral describes it as "partial 16S ribosomal RNA". It matches the Rfam family "Bacterial small subunit ribosomal RNA", at positions 335 to 524 of the family's 1533-position model. The record is from RNAcentral.
ACUCCUACGGAAGGCAUCAGUGGGGAAUAUUGCACAAUGGGGGAAACCCUGAUGCAGCGACGCAGCGUGCGGGAUGACGGCCUUCGGGUUGUAAACCGCUUUCAGCAGGGAAGAAGCGCAAGUGACGGUACCUGCAGAAGAAGUACCGGCUAACUACGUGCCAGCAGCCGCGGUAAU